CUCAAUAUUAGAAAGGUGUUCCUAAUGUUUGGUAUACUCAGUGUAUAUCUCAAUGGUUAGCAUUUUGUAUUAGACAGUAAGUGGUGUGCUUUCAGAUGAUUGAAUGAGAAUAUCUUCACUCUCCUGUGUACACUCCUCUUCAGGAUGAGACUGCAAGGAAUUACUUCUCUGCCUACUGGAAGUAGAUUGGGCUAAUUGUCUUUGGCUCUUUUCUCCUCCUUAUAUUUGACCUGAGUGAGAGGGGUGUUCAUGGGAUGAAUCCAUUCCACAGCAUCUGGUCAUCAGAUAUAUCCUUCAGACAAUAACUGCAUCUAUUUGUCUAUGAUACAAACCCACUAUUACAUUAUAACUACAACUAUAAUGUUGGGAGCAUUAUCCUCAUUAUCCAUGUAUUAUAACAAAAUACAUUGUAUUCUCCUUAACCUAAACCACAGAUGGCCUUCAUCAUUGUGGCUAGUAUCUCUGUGUGCCUGUACUUCCUCUUCCUGUGUGUCAUGGUGUACCAGGUAUUCCAGAACAUCAGUCGGAAAAUAGGCCAACUGCCGGCCAUGACAGAGAACAGAAGACUACGCUAUAAGGUGUUAUCAGGGCAUUCUCUUCAGGUUCAAGUUCCUGAUGUUGGUCACUCUGGCGUGUGCCGCCGUGAUCGUCAUCUUCUUUAUCGUCAGUCAGGUGAGAGCAACAAUAAUAUCCUGGAGUGAUGGGUCACAUGGGUCAAUUUGUUCGGUUUUAAGAGUAGAAUAACCCUCCCUCUUGUGUGUUUCAGUUACAUAAAUUCCUAUUUUAUUGUAUUGCAUUCUAUUCUAUUCCAUUCCACCAGGUUAUUGAAGUCAACUGGCGAUUGGGUGACUACUCUUUCCGCUUGGGUGACUACUCUUUCCAGGUGCACAGUCACAGUGCCUUUCUCACAGGAACCUACGGCAUGUGGAACCUUUAUGUGUUGUCCAUCCUGUUUCUCUAUGCACCCUCCCACAAGACACACACUGACAAGACAGAUAACACCGGACCAAAGGUUAACCUCCUCAGACUAUUAAUUUGAAAAUGUUGUUGAGAGGACAGCAUUUAACAAUACAUAACACAUAAUAAUAAAAUCAUAUAAAAUAAAGACAAUAUUGACUUACACAGACAAGGCAGCUAACACUGGAACAACAUGUUAACCUCAGACUCCAUUCAUUUUGAUAUGUUGUUGAGAUCCAUUUUCUUGUUUGUAGUAUAUAGCCGUAUAGGGAAUAUAGUCUAAUUUACUGUGUAGCACUGAUUCUCAUGAUUUAACAUUUAUGAUAUACUGUUGAGAACAGCAUUUGAUAUAAAACAAACAAAAUAUUGACUUUGUGUUUGUCAAACAUUGUUCCACCCAUAGACCAUAUAUACACCAGGCCACUGAGAAGUGUCUUGUUUACCUGUGUACUGUGGGUAUCUUGGAGAUGUUGAGUGAAAAGGAGAUCUGUCUGCCCACCACCACCUGUAACCUACCUGAGCAGCACGGCCCGAAAGAGACGGACAGGACCACUGAUCACCGCAAAGAGGACCAGGAGUCGCAGAGCAACCAGCCACUUGCAGAGUACAGUGACAUCCAGUAUACCUUAUACCACAGUAUACCCUGAGCACAAACAAACAAUACCACAUACCCCGAGUACCUCACUAUAUCCCUAAUAGCACAUACCCCGAGUACCUCACUAUAUCCCUAACAAACAGUGUCCAUAUUGUGUUCAUAAUUAAUGUGAAGAUUUUAUGACAUGCUCCUUAUGAUUUGUCAAUUUUUUAUACACUUUGCAACCGAUAGACACUAUGAUAUUCUACCUUAUUAUCAAUAUAUAAAUACAUGUUCAUGGUCUAUUUAUUAUAGACUAUUUGUCAUGACCAUGUAUUAAAAUUUUGUAUUGACUGUUACAGUAUGUGGGUGUCAAUAAA
This is a long non-coding RNA of Coregonus clupeaformis (lake whitefish), 1911 nucleotides long. RefSeq lists it as uncharacterized. The record is from RefSeq and is a predicted model, not a curated record. Lineage: Eukaryota; Metazoa; Chordata; Actinopteri; Salmoniformes; Salmonidae. The transcript has 3 exons.